GACAGAGGGUGCUAGCGUUGUUCGGAAUUACUGGGCGUAAAGGGCGCGUAGGCGGCUCGUUUAGUCGGGUGUGAAAUCCCGGGGCUCAACCCCGGAACUGCAUUCGAUACUGGCGGGCUAGAGACCGAGAGAGGUGGGUGGAAUACCCAGUGUAGAGGUGAAAUUCGUAGAUAUUGGGUGGAACACCGGUGGCGAAGGCGGCUCACUGGCUCGGUUCUGACGCUGAGGCGCGAAAGCGUGGGGAGCAAACAGG
This 253-nucleotide ribosomal RNA is filed under the name uncultured bacterium. Its description in RNAcentral is "partial 16S ribosomal RNA". It matches the Rfam family "Bacterial small subunit ribosomal RNA", at positions 524 to 776 of the family's 1533-position model. The record is from RNAcentral.